CCUCCGUCCUCUCGCACUUCUGGAGCGCCUUCCUCCUCCUCUUCCUCCUCCUCCUCCUCCUCCUCCUCUUCCUCUUCGUUAGCGAGAGGUCCGUCUGGGCCCCUGUGCCCGCCCCGCUCCCUGUUGCCGAGCGCCAACUCAUCACAGCCCCUGUCUCUGGUCACCAAACCUCUGGACUGACUCUGCACUUGCUCCUCUCCUCUUCUGAUGUUCUUACAUUCAUCCCUUUCUCUUUACUUUCUCUUCAAUCCUUUCUUUUGUUUGUUGGUUUUGUCCUCUUUUCCUUGCUUGUGCCAAGAGGCUUUGGAUAGUAGAGCACUUUUUUUUUGUUAUUUUUCUCUUUUUUUAAUUAAUUAAUCAAACUUCAUUGGUCAAUAUUUGACCCUUCAUUAUCUUAAGAAAAAGGAAUUCUAUAAUGUAACGAGGAGAGAAAACUUACGAUGCAUUUGUAGAGUAUAGUGUCAAUCUGCCAAAAUUUGUAUAAUUUUUUUUUGUCUGUACAACAGAAAAUGAAUAGUUGUUAACGUAGUCGGGCAUAGACGUGUUUAAAACAGACCUAUAAAGCAUAAAGUAGGAGAUUUAAGAAGGGCGCGCUUUUCUGAGAGAGCAGCCCGGUCUAUUUGUUUGUAUGAAAUACGAGCCAGCGAACCAAUCAUUUUACACCUCUUUAAAAGAUGGAGGGCACAAGGACCCUGGGGAGCGUUCUCCAGCAGAGGACCUUCUUCCAGAGCUGUGUGAUGAUGUUACUCUCUCUUCUUUAAAUGUACAGAAAUGCGGGGAAGGGGGGUUCUGUGUUAAUAUGCAUUGUUCCAUUGCGUUGUUUAUUUUAUUUGACAUCUUUGGCUGUUUACCUGGGGGCCUCGGGCGUGGAGAUUGAAGUGGGUGGGGGGGAAAGGGACCUGUUUAGAUGGGGUUCGGGGGUGGGGUGGGGUGGGGGGGGGGGCAGGUUGCGGGUAUUCAAUAUGAACUGUCACAAGUUAGGACCAGUAGUAUUUAUUACUUUAGAGAAUGCUUGUUGUAUCUUGUAUGUUGUCCCUUUUCCAAUACCUUUUGUCUUUUUUUUCUUUUCUUUCUAAAAGAUAUGUGCGAGUGAUAUAUAUAUAUUAAUAUAUAUAUACACACAGACACAGAUACAGACACUAUACGUUCAUGCACACACGAGUACAUGCUGAUUUCAUUUUUCUAUAAGGUUGGAGCCAUGUACCAUACCAUGUUUGGGAGCUUUUUUUUUUGUCCAUCUGACAUCCUGGAGUCCACUACGGGGAGGGCUUCUCCGAGCGGCGGGCCUCCUCCUGCACCACCAUGUAAACACUAGAAGCCAUUCUACUACACUAGACUAAAAGAACAGAACACUUUGACACAGCGAUGGGAUGGCGGGUUUGGUUUUGGUGUCUCCAGUAGUUGGCGAAGAGUUUCAAAGCCCUUGUUUUUUCUAUGAUACAGUCUCACAUCUCAAGGACUGUAGAAUUGUGUACAGAUUUUUUCCGUGCCAAAAUUUUGUGAUAAUUUCACACACACCCCCUUCUGAUGCGCUAGGGUUUCCCUACCCUUUCUCGUUGUUGUCGUCGAUUUUUUUUUUUUUUUGGUUUGUUUCGUUUUCUCUUUUUUUUUUUUUUUACCAUACUUUGCUGUGACGUUACAUAGAUUGCUAUGUAUGUAGUAUAAAUGUUGCUAUAACAAAUGUGUUUGGUAGCAGAUUGUCAAAUAUUAAAAUUUUAAAACGGAAUAAAAACACCUGGCAUCACACAGUACUAACCUUGAAGGGCCAAAUGUGUGUAUAGUAGGAGGGUCAUUAAAACUGUUGAAUAAAGAAGUAAACACAUACAGACUGCCACUUUUAAAUACACUACUACAUAUAGGUAGAUAGACAAACCGGCAUGUUGAUGUUGUAAGAAGCUGUUUUAAAAAAAAAAAGAGAAAAAAAAAAAAAAAGCUACAAGAGAAUCAUCCAUUGGGUGCCAUAGUAACAUGACUGUGACAUCACGCGGCUGUAAGCUCCAUCCUCCGCUUCCCCCCCACACGCUAAAAGACCAGUCCUUUUGAAUGUUUCCUUAACGGCUGUGAUGUUUAAUGCUCUUCUCCCUUCUUUUCUUUUCUUUUCUUUACCUUUUUCUUUUCAUUUUGGGUUUUUGUUUGUAUAUUUCUCUGUUUUUAUUUUUGUUUUUCAUCAUUGGAGAUGUUUUUUGUAAUGAAUAAAUGUUUAUGCUGUACAGUCUCUGUAGCAUGCGGUCCUGUAUUAAUAAAAGGCUUAGUAUGUGACAUCGUCUUCGACUCUUUCUCCUACCCACAGCAGCCCACCGCCAUAUAAAGGGACCCCCGUGGGACUAAACAUCAUGUUACAUUCAUCAUUUUGUUGUGGAAAUAAAUAUAAACUUAAUAUCUUUAGGGUUGUGGAAAUACAUAUAAAAUAAAAUAAAAAAAACUAAACCAAUGGGAAUAAACAUGACAUUUAUGGGAAUAAAAAGCUUUUGUGACAAAAAAAAAAAAAACUAAUCUGAGCCUCCGCCACCGCAUUCCCUCUCUGGCGCUGUGGGCUUUAGUUUGCAGCGUAUCUGGCCUGGGUUUGACCCUGAUCAGCAGAGUUCUAUAAUCUGGCCUGGGUUUGACCCUGAUCAGCAGGGUUCUAUAAUCUGGCCUGGGUUUGACCCUGAUCAGCAGGGUUCUAUAAUCUGGCCUGGGUUUGACCCUGAUCAGCA
Long non-coding RNA from Clupea harengus (Atlantic herring), 2696 nucleotides. NCBI's taxonomy places the organism in Eukaryota, Metazoa, Chordata, Actinopteri, Clupeiformes, Clupeidae. The record is from Ensembl.